Long non-coding RNA from Mytilus californianus (California mussel), 1600 nucleotides. RefSeq lists it as uncharacterized. NCBI's taxonomy places the organism in Eukaryota, Metazoa, Mollusca, Bivalvia, Mytilida, Mytilidae. The transcript has 2 exons. The record is from RefSeq and is a predicted model, not a curated record.
CUGUAUUUUAUAGGUUUUACAGUAAUUGUGUAUAUUUUUAUAUUUAGUUUAUAGUGUUGUAUUUUGUAUAGGAUAUGACUUAUAUUGAUUAAUUAAAGGUAUGAGUAUAUUAAUUACAGAUUGUAAUUAAUUGAUUAAUAUAUUUAUUUUCAUAGUUCAUUUUAUUUGCUUAUUUGACAGUUGGACUUAUUGACAGACGACAUUUUCUACUGGUUUGGGUAACUUUGGUUUCACUGUAUUUUACUUCAAAGGCUUUCUUUUCAUGGUUCAUUGGACCGCACACUUUCUUUAUUUCUAUUGGUCUUAUGUUUUGGCGCUAUAUUUCUUUUGUUCUUUAUACUGGUUAUCACUUUUGAUAUAAUGGUGGACAUAGACAUUUGUGUCUGAUAUAAUUCUAAGUUUGAGUAACAUUCUUUCUUAGUGUUCUAUAUUCUAUAUACAGGUCAGUUAUCUUUCUCUAUUACUAAUUAUAUGUUAAUAGUCCAGAUAUUUAUUAUUUUACCUAGAAUGAAUGUUUAGAAUGAAAGACCGAUGCGUAAAUGUUGAAUGCGAGAUGAAUGCUUUAAAAUGAUAUAAAAUAGAUAAAGUACAGUAAAGUAUUAUCUGUUUGAUUAAAUGGUUUAAGAGACGUUAUUUUCAUAUUUUCAUAAAUAAAGUACUUUUAACUAAUUUGGUAAAGAAUUAAUUUAAUACACACUGUAUGAGAAUUCGAGUGUUCCGGUACGAAUGCUUUAAAUACUUUUAAAGGUAAAGAUAUAAACGUAAUAAAAGUUAUGUGGUAUUGAUUGAUUAUUUUAACUAAGAGUACAUAUCGUAAACAGGUGGAUUAUUACAGUAAAACAUGGAUUACAAUUUGUUUAUUUGUUAUACAGGUAUAUUUUAAGUAAUCCUGGGAAGAUGUGAUUAAAUUCCAAUUAGAUAAUUCAGGAGGCCUUUGCACCUCAUGCGAGGGUAUUUAUUUAGUUAUUGUUAUUAUCCUGAUUUUGUCAAGAAAUAAAACGAAUCCACCUCAGAAGAAAGUAUUGUUUUAUUAGCCCUAGAAAGUGCUACUACAUAAUUUGGCGCCCACAAAGAGUUAUUUCUGUGACAACGUUGAUAUAUCUACGAUUGGAAUUCUUGGAUUGAAGAAACCGUACGGUGAAAGUUGUUCGAACGCACCCGACCUAGUUAUUGGCCAACGUCCGGUUCAUAUGAACGAAGAAAAGGUAAACAGAAAUCGACAUGUGAUUGGAAUUCUGAAACAACUUUUCUUGAUUUAUACUGAUAUUGUAAGUUGAAUUAAUAUGUUUAUAUGAAUUGAAUUUGUGUAUAUUACAUUACAUUAUAUAACCGCAAGAGUAAUUUGCGAUAAUUUUAUACUGAAACUAGAAUUUAAGAGCAGAUUUGUGUUGUUAAAAAAAAAUAUUGUGGUACAUAUUUAUGCAUUGAAAGUUGUAUAGUACAUAGACUGAAAACUUAUGCAUUGGAUGUAUAGUGGUUGUUGCUUACAGUGAGACAUACUUUGUGAACUUAGGUUGAUUGAAUAUAGGUAUUUUUUUUCAGAGACUUAGAUAAAUUUUUUUUUCUCUUUGAUACUUGACCUACUUACCCCCCCCCCCCC